GCGCGGAAGAUGUAACGGGGCUAAACCAUGCACCGAAGCUGCGGCAGCGAACGUAUCACCCAAGACAACUUUACGGAGUUGACGAUUGAUGGAGCGAAGCGACGUCAAAGCGUUCAUUAAAGUCGAGUUGGCUUAGGGAUACGUUCGUUGGGUAGGGGAGCGUUCUGUAAGCCUGUGAAGGUGGCCUGUGAGGGUUGCUGGAGGUAUCAGAAGUGCGAAUGCUGACAUAAGUAACGAUAAAGCGGGUGAAAAGCCCGCUCGCCGGAAGACCAAGGGUUCCUGUCCAACGUUAAUCGGGGCAGGGUGAGUCGACCCCUAAGGCGAGGCCGAAAGGCGUAGUCGAUGGGAAACGGGUUAAUAUUCCCGUACUUGGUGUUACUGCGAAGGGGGGACGGAGAAGGCUAUGUUGGCCGGGCGACGGUUGUCCCGGUUUAAGCGUGUAGGUGUGUGUUCCAGGUAAAUCCGGUUCACUUUAACACUGAGGCGUGAUGACGAGGCACUACGGUGCUGAAGCAACAAAUGCCCUGCUUCCAGGAAAAGCCUCUAAGCAUCAGGUAACAUCAAAUCGUACCCCAAACCGACACAGGUGGUCAGGUAGAGAAUACCAAGGCGCUUGAGAGAACUCGGGUGAAGGAACUAGGCAAAAUGGUGCCGUAACUUCGGGAGAAGGCACGCUGACACGUAGGUGAAGUGAUUUACUCAUGGAGCUGAAGUCAGUCGAAGAUACCAGCUGGCUGCAACUGUUUAUUAAAAACACAGCACUGUGCAAACACGAAAGUGGACGUAUACGGUGUGACGCCUGCCCGGUGCCGGAAGGUUAAUUGAUGGGGUCAGCGCAAGCGAAGCUCCUGAUCGAAGCCCCGGUAAACGGCGGCCGUAACUAUAACGGUCCUAAGGUAGCGAAAUUCCUUGUCGGGUAAGUUCCGACCUGCACGAAUGGCGUAAUGAUGGCCAGGCUGUCUCCACCCGAGACUCAGUGAAAUUGAACUCGCUGUGAAGAUGCAGUGUACCCGCGGCAAGACGGAAAGACCCCGUGAACCUUUACUAUAGCUUGACACUGAACAUUGAGCCUUGAUGUGUAG
RNAcentral lists this ribosomal RNA (1082 nucleotides) under Salmonella enterica. Its description in RNAcentral is "partial 23S ribosomal RNA". It matches the Rfam family "Bacterial large subunit ribosomal RNA", at positions 1161 to 2141 of the family's 2925-position model. Lineage: Bacteria; Pseudomonadati; Pseudomonadota; Gammaproteobacteria; Enterobacterales; Enterobacteriaceae. The record is from RNAcentral.